GAUGAACGCUGGCGGCGUGCCUAAUACAUGCAAGCCGAGCGAACAGACGAGGAGCUUGCUCCUCUGACGUUAGCGGCGGACGGGUGAGUAACACGUGGAUAACCUACCUAUAAGACUGGGAUAACUUCGGGAAACCGGAGCUAAUACCGGAUAAUAUAUUGAACCGCAUGGUUAAAUAGUGAAAGAAGGUUUUGCUGUCACUUAUAGAUGGAUCCGCGCCGCAUUAGCUAGUUGGUAAGGUAACGGCUUACCAAGGCGACGAUGCGUAGCCGACCUGAGAGGGUGAUCGGCCACACUGGAACUGAGACACGGUCCAGACUCCUACGGGAGGCAGCAGUAGGGAAUCUUCCGCAAUGGGCGAAAGCCUGACGGAGCAACGCCGCGUGAGUGAUGAAGGUCUUCGGAUCGUAAAACUCUGUUAUUAGGGAAGAACAAAUGUGUAAGUAACUAUGCACGUCUUGACGGUACCUAAUCAGAAAGCCACGGCUAACUACGUG
This 497-nucleotide ribosomal RNA is filed under the name uncultured bacterium. Its description in RNAcentral is "partial 16S ribosomal RNA". It matches the Rfam family "Bacterial small subunit ribosomal RNA", at positions 28 to 507 of the family's 1533-position model. The record is from RNAcentral.